UACGUAGGGUGCGAGCGUUAAUCGGAAUUACUGGGCGUAAAGCGUGCGCAGGCGGUUGGUUAAGUCUGAUGUGAAAGCCCCGGGCUCAACCUGGGAAUGGCAUUGGAAACUGGCUGGCUAGAGUGUGGCAGAGGGGGGUGGAAUUCCGCGUGUAGCAGUGAAAUGCGUAGAGAUGUGGAGGAACACCGAUGGCGAAGGCAGCCCCCUGGGCCAAUACUGACGCUCAGGCACGAAAGCGUGGGGAGCAAACAGG
This 253-nucleotide ribosomal RNA is filed under the name uncultured bacterium. RNAcentral describes it as "partial 16S ribosomal RNA". It matches the Rfam family "Bacterial small subunit ribosomal RNA", at positions 524 to 776 of the family's 1533-position model. The record is from RNAcentral.